This 255-nucleotide ribosomal RNA is filed under the name uncultured bacterium. RNAcentral describes it as "partial 16S ribosomal RNA". It matches the Rfam family "Bacterial small subunit ribosomal RNA", at positions 793 to 1050 of the family's 1533-position model. The record is from RNAcentral.
GUCCACGCCGUAAACGAUGGAUACUAGCUGUCCGGGCCCUUGGGGUCUGGGCGGCCAAGCGAAAGUGAUAAGUAUCCCACCUGGGGAGUACGUUCGCAAGAAUGAAACUCAAAGGAAUUGACGGGGGCCCGCACAAGCGGUGGAGCAUGUGGUUUAAUUCGAUGAUACGCGAGGAACCUUACCAGGGCUUGAAUGCAUUAUGACGGGGGCGGAGACGCCCUUUUCUUCGGACAUAUUGCAAGGUGCUGCAUGGUU